RNAcentral lists this ribosomal RNA (600 nucleotides) under Triticum aestivum (bread wheat). RNAcentral's name for it is "partial small subunit ribosomal RNA". Lineage: Eukaryota; Viridiplantae; Streptophyta; Magnoliopsida; Poales; Poaceae. The record is from RNAcentral.
AUGGACUCCGGCGGCGGCGACUCGUCCGGCAGCGCGGGCGCGGCUGCCGCGGCGGCCAAGUGGCGGAGGGAGGCGACGCGGGCGUUCCAGUACUACCUGGACCGGUCGACGCCGCACGCGACGGGGCGGUGGGUGGGCACGCUGGUGGUGGCCGGCGUGUACGCGCUCAGGGUCUUGUCCAUCCACGGCUUCUACAUCGUCAGCUACGGGCUCGGGAUCUACCUCCUCAACCUCCUCAUCGGCUUCCUCUCCCCCAUGGUGGACCCGGAGCUCGACCCCUCCGCCGCCGCCGCCGGGCCCGCCCUCCCCACCCGCGGAUCCGACGAGUUCAAGCCCUUCAUCAGGAGGCUCCCAGAGUUCAAGUUCUGGUAUGCAAUCACAAAGGCUUUUCUUAUAGCUUUUGUCAUGACUUUCUUCUCUGUGUUCGACGUCCCUGUCUUCUGGCCUAUACUGCUCUGCUACUGGAUUGUACUCUUUGUGCUCACGAUGAAGCGCCAGAUUCUGCACAUGGUCAAGUACAAAUAUGUGCCCUUCAACAUCGGCAAGCAGAAAUACGGCGGGAAGAAGGGUGGCGCGAGCAGCAGCUCGUCGAAAGACUGA